This 547-nucleotide ribosomal RNA is filed under the name uncultured bacterium. Its description in RNAcentral is "bacterial SSU rRNA". It matches the Rfam family "Bacterial small subunit ribosomal RNA", at positions 355 to 896 of the family's 1533-position model. The record is from RNAcentral.
UGGGGAAUAUUGCGCAAUGGGGGGAACCCUGACGCAGCCAUGCCGCGUGAAUGAAGAAGGCCUUAGGGUUGUAAAGUUCUUUCGGUAUUGAGGAAGGUUGAUGUGUUAAUAGCACAUCAAAUUGACGUUAAAUACAGAAGAAGCACCGGCUAACUCCGUGCCAGCAGCCGCGGUAAUACGGAGGGUGCGAGCGUUAAUCGGAAUAACUGGGCGUAAAGGGCACGCAGGCGGUUAUUUAAGUGAGGUGUGAAAGCCCUGGGCUUAACCUAGGAAUUGCAUUUCAGACUGGGUAACUAGAGUACUUUAGGGAGGGGUAGAAUUCCACGUGUAGCGGUGAAAUGCGUAGAGAUGUGGAGGAAUACCGAAGGCGAAGGCAGCCCCUUGGGAAUGUACUGACGCUCAUGUGCGAAGGCGUGGGGAGCAAACAGGAUUAGAUACCCUGGUAGUCCACGCUGUAAACGCUGUCGAUUUGGGGGUUGGGGUUUAACUCUGGCGCCCGUAGCUAACGUGAUAAAUCGACCGCCUGGGGAGUACGGCCGCAAGGUUA